Molecule: ribosomal RNA, 404 nt
Filed under: Crustacea environmental sample
Lineage: Eukaryota; Metazoa; Arthropoda
Description: partial small subunit ribosomal RNA
Rfam family: Eukaryotic small subunit ribosomal RNA
Source: RNAcentral
GCUUGUCUCAAAGAUUAAGCCAUGCAUGUCUCAGUAUAAGCUUCUAUACGGCGAAACUGCGAAUGGCUCAUUAAAACAGUUAUAGUUUAUUUGGUGGUCAACUCUUACAUGGAUAACCGUGGUAAUUCUAGAGCUAAUACAUGCGCCCAAACCCAACUUCUUGGAAGGGUUGUGUUUAUUAGAUACAGAACCAAACGGCUUCGGCCGUCUCAUUGGUGACUCUGAAUAACUUUGGGCUGAUCGUAUGGCCUUGUGCCGACGACGUUUCCUUCGAAGGUGUGCCCUAUCAACUGUCGACUGUGAUAUAGACGCUCACAGUGGUUUUGACGGGUAACGGGGAAUCAGGGUUCGAUUCCGGAGAGGGAGCCUUAAAAACGGCUACCACAUCCAAGGAAGGCAGCAGG